ACCAACUAUACAUUUCUCCCAGGAUUAGGUUUUCGUUUCUUGCAUUCCCCUCGAGUUCCACCAGCUUUGCGACAGCGUUUCUUCACUCGCCGAUUCUCCCUUUUUCACUUGUGUCGAUCUUCUCAUCUCCCUCAACUCGCCGUUCUCUCACCGUCGAUCUCCCUCACGGCAGUUCUCUCAUUGCAGUUCAUCGAUUUCCGGUGGUAGUGAGUACAAACACCAAAGAGCCUUUCGACCAUGGCUUCCCAUUCCCCUAACCUCGAGUGUCGGAUGUACGAGGCAAAGUACCCAGAGGUGGAUAUGGCUGUCAUGAUUCAGGUCAAGAACAUCGCCGAUAUGGGCGCCUACGUCUCCCUUCUUGAAUACAACAAUAUCGAGGGUAUGAUUCUUUUCUCCGAGCUCUCUCGCCGUCGAAUUCGUAGUGUCAGCAGCUUAAUUAAGGUCGGCCGUAUCGAGCCCGUCAUGGUCCUUAGGGUUGACAAGGAGAAGGGAUAUAUUGAUUUGAGUAAGAGAAGGGUGUCUGAGGAGGAUAUUCAGGCCUGUGAGGAGAGGUAUAACAAGAGCAAGCUCGUUCACUCUAUAAUGCGCCAUGUUGCUGAAACUAUGAACAUUGAUUUAGAGGACUUAUAUAUCCAUGUUGGAUGGCCUUUGUACCGGAAAUAUGGUCAUGCUUUUGAGGCAUUCAAGAUCAUUGUAACUGACCCUGACUCAGUGUUGAAUUCUCUAACCCGUGAAGUCAAGGAAGCUGGUCCUGAUGGACAGGAGGAAACUAAGAUAGUUCCUGCAAUGUCCGAGGAUGUAAAAGAUGCACUAAUAAAGAAUAUUAGAAGAAGAAUGACUCCCCAACCCUUGAAGGUCCGAGCUGAUAUUGAGAUGAAGUGUUUCCAAUUUGAUGGUGUUCUUCACAUAAAGGAAGCAAUGCGUAAAGCUGAAGCUGCUGGAAAUGAUGAUUGUCCUGUUAAAAUUAAAUUGGUUGCUCCUCCACUCUACGUCCUUACUACUCAGACACUUGACAAGCUUCAUAGUACUCGGAUUCAUCAAGUCAACCAUUUUCAAUGAUAACCUGCAAAAUACCUUUCAUCACAAAGGAAGCCCUUUCUCUCUUCGAGCUUGAAAUUCAGCAUCUGGCAACCUUUUUGUUGAACCUUCACGUCAAUUUCCCACCAUCGUUGCUCCUCUCAGUGUAAUUGAGCAAGGAAUCACUGUUCUUGAAAAAGCAAUUGCUGCUUGCACUGAGGCAAUUGAGCAUCACAAGGGAAAGCUUGUGGUGAAGGAGACACCCAGAGCGGUGA
Molecule: RNA transcript, 1292 nt
Organism: Cucumis melo (muskmelon)
Lineage: Eukaryota; Viridiplantae; Streptophyta; Magnoliopsida; Cucurbitales; Cucurbitaceae
Exons: 8
Source: RefSeq, a predicted model, not a curated record